This 7211-nucleotide long non-coding RNA is filed under the name Triticum aestivum (bread wheat). Its description in RNAcentral is "long non-coding RNA (TAES_LNC011246)". The record is from RNAcentral. Lineage: Eukaryota; Viridiplantae; Streptophyta; Magnoliopsida; Poales; Poaceae.
GAAGCCCUGCAGGAUUGCCACGCUCCUCCAUCACCACCACGCUGUUGUGCUGCUGCUGGAUGGAGUCUUCCUCAACCUCUCCCUCUCUCCUUGCUGGAUCAAGGCGUGGGAGACGUCACCGGGCUGUACGUGUGUUGAACGCGGAGGUGCCGUGCGUUCGGCACUUGAUCAUCGGUGAUUUAAAUCACGACGAGUACGACUCCAUCAACCCCGUUCACUUGAACGCUUCCGCUUAGCGAUCUACAAGGGUAUGUAGAUGCACUCUCCUUCCCCUCGUUACUGGUCUCUCCAUAGAUAGAUCUUGGUGAUACAUAGGAAAUUUUUUGAAUUUCUGCUACGUUCCCCAACAGUGGCAUCAUGAGCUAGGUCUAUGCGUAGUUACUAUGCACGAGUAGAACACAAAGUAGUUGUGGGCGUCGAUAUUGUUCAAUAUGCUUGCCGUUACUAGUCUUAUCUUGAUUCGGCGGCAUCGUGGGAUGAAGCGGCCCGGACCAACCUUACACGUACGCUUACGUGAGACCGGUUCCACCGACAAACAUGCACUAGUUGCAUAAGGUGGCUGGCGGGUGUCUGUCUCUCCCACUUUAGUCGGAUCGGAUUCGAUGAAAAGGGUCCUUAUGAAGGGUAAAUAGCAAUUGGCAUAUCACGUUGUGGUUCUUGCUUAGGUAAGAAACGUUCUUGCUAGAAACCCAUAGCAGCCACGUAAAACAUGCAAACAACAAUUAGAGGACGUCUAACUUGUUUUUGCAGGGUAUGCUAUGUGAUGUGAUAUGGACAAGAAGAAUGUGAUGAAUGAUAUGUGAUGUAUGAGAUUGAUCAUGUUCUUGUAAUAGGAAUCACGACUUGCAUGUCGAUGAGUAUGACAACCGGCAGGAGCCAUAGGAGUUGUCUUAAUUUAUUUAUGACCUGCAUGUCAACAUAAACAUCAUGUAAUUACUUUACUUUAUUGCUAACCGUUAGCUGUAGUAGUAGAAGUAAUAGAUGACGUGACAACUUCAUGGAGACACGAUGAUGGAGAUCAUGAUGAUGGAGAUCAUGGUGUCAUGCUGGUGACGAUGAUGAUCAUGGAGCCCCGAAGAUGGAGAUCAAAAGGAGCAAAAUGAUAUUGGCCAUAUCAUGUCACUAUUUGAUUGCAUGUGAUGUUUAUCAUGUUUAUGCAUCUUGUUUACUUAGCACGACGGUAGUAAAUAAGAUGAUCCCUUACAAAAAUUUCAAGAAGUGUUCUCCCCUAACUGUGCACCGUUGCUACAGUUCGUCGUUUCGAAGCACCACGUGAUGAUCGGGUGUGAUAGAUCCUUACGUUCACAUACAACGGGUGUUGACGAGCCUAGCAUGUACAAACAUGGCCUCGGAACACAUGCAAUACACUUAGGGUUAACUUGACGAGCCUAGCAUGUACAGACAUGGUCUCAGAACACGGAGACCGAAAGGUCGAGCAUGAGUUGUAUAGAAGAUACGAUCAACAUGAAGAUGUUCACCGAUGAUGACUAGUCCGUCUCACGUGAUGACUGGACACGGCCUAGUUUGACUCGAAUCAUGUGAUCACUUAGAUGCCCAGAGGGAUGUCUAUCUGAGUGGGAGUUCAUAAGAUGAACUUAAUUAUCCUGAACAUAGUUAAAAGGAUUUUGCAAAUUAUGUCGUAGCUCACGCUAUAGUCCUACUGUUUAGAUAUGUUCCUAGAGAAAAUUUAGUUGAAAGUUGAUAGUAGAAAUUAUACGGACUACGUCCGUGAACUGAGGUUUGUCCUCAUUGCUUCAUAGAAGGCUUAUGUCCUUAAUGCACCGCUCAGUGUGCUGAACCUCGAACGUUGUCUGUGGAUGUUACGAACAUCUGACAUACACAUUUUGAUAACUACGUGAUAGUUCAGUUAAACGGUUUAGAGUUGAGGCACUAAAGACGUUUUCGAAACAUUGCGGAACAUAUGAGAUGUUUUGAGGGCUGAAAUUGGGAUUUCAGGCUCGUGCCCACGUCAAGAGGUAUAAGACCUCCGACGAUUUUCUUAACCUGCAAACUAAGGGAGAAAAGCUCAAUCGUUGAGCUUGUGCUCAGAUUGUCUGAGUGCAACAAUCACUUGAAUCGAAUGGGAGUUGAUCUUCCAUAUGAGAUAGUGAUUUUUCUCCAAAGUCAUUGCCACCAAGCUGCUAGAGCUUUGUGAUGAACUAUAACAUAUCAGGGAUAGAUAUGAUGAUCCUUGAGGUAUUCACGAUGUUUGACACCGUGAAAGUAGAAAUCAAGAAGGAGCAUCAAUUGUUAAUGGUUGGUGAAACCACUAGUUUCAAGAAGGGCAAGGGCAAUAAGGGAUACUUCAUGAAACGGCAAAUCAGCUGCUGCACCAGUGAAGAAACCCGAGGUUGAACCCAAACCCGAGACUAAGUGCUUCUGUGAUAAGGGGAACAACCACUGGAGCAGAAUUACCCUAGAUACUUGGUAGAUGAGAAGGCUGGCAAGGUCGAUAGAAGUAUAUUGGAUAUACAUUAUGUUAAUGUGUACUUUGCUAGUACUCCUAGUAGCACCAGCGUAUUAGAUACCGGUUCAGUUGCUAAGUGUUAGUAACUCAAAAUAAAAGCUACGGAAUAAACGGAGACUAGCUAAAGGUGACCUGACGAUAUGUGUUGGAAGUUUUUCCAAGCUUGAUGUGAUCAAGCAUCGCACGCUCCCUCUACCAACGAGAUUGGUGUUAAACCUAAAUAAUUGUUAUUUGUGUGUUUGCGUUGAGCAUAGACAUGAUUGGAUUAUGUCUAUCGCAAUACGGUUAUUCAUUUAAGGAGAAUAAUGGUUACUCUGUUUAUUUGAAUAAUACCUUCAAUGGUCUUGCACCUAAAUGAAUGGUUUAUUGAAUCUCGAUCGUAGUGAUACACAUUUUCAUGCCAAAAGAUAGUAAUGAUAGUACCACCUACUUGUGGCACUGCCACGUAAGUCAUAUCGGUAUAAAACGCAUGAAGAAGCUCCAUGUUGAUGGAUCUUUGGGCUCACUCGUUUUUGAAAAGUUUGAGACAUGCGAACCACGUCUAUUGGUGUAUAUGCAUGAAGAAACUCCAUGCAAAUGGACCGUUUGGACUCACUUGAUUUUGAAUCACUUGAGACAUGCAAAUAAUACCACAUGGGCAAGAUGACUGAAAAGCCUCGGUUUCAGUAAGAUGGAACAAGAUAGCAACUUGUUGGAAGUAACACAUUUUGAUGUGUGCAGUCCAAUGAGUGCUGAGGCAUGCAGUGAAUAUCGUUAUGUUCUUACUUCACAAAUGAUUCGAGUAGAUGUUGAGAAUAUUUACUUGAUGAAACACAAGUCUGAAUUGAAUGGUUCAAGUAAUUUCAGAGUGAAGUAGAAGAUCAUUGUGACAAGAGGAUAAAAUGUCUAUGAUAUGAUCAUAGAUAUGAAUAUCUGAGUUACGAGUUUUGGCACACAAUUAAGACAUUGUGGAAAUUGUUUCGCAAUUAAUACCGCCUGGAACACCAUAGUGUGAUGGUGUGUCCGAACAUCAUAGUUGCACCCUAUUGCAUAUGGUGCGUACCAUGAUGUCUCUUAUCGAAUUACCACUAUUGUUCAUGGGUUAGGCAUUAGAGACAACCACAUUCACUUUAAAUAGGGCACCACGUGAUUCCGAUGAUAUGACACCGUAGGAACUAUGGUUUAGAGAAACCUAAGCUGUCAUUUCUUAAAAGUUUGGGGCUGCGACGCUUAUGUGAAAAAGUUUCAGGCUGAUAAGCUCGAACCCAAAGCGGAUAAAUGCAUCUUCAUAGGACACCCAAAACAGUUGGGUAUACCUCCUGUCUCAGAUUCGAAAGCAAUAAGGGAUUGUUUCUAGAAUCGGGUCCUUUCUCGAGGAAAAGUUUCUCUCGAAAGAAUUGAGUGGGAGGAUGGUGGAGACUUGAUGAGAUUAUUGAACCGUCACUUCAACUAGUGUAUAGCAGGGCACAAAGAGUUGUUCCUGUGGCACCUACACCAAUUGAAGUGGAAGCUUAUGAUAGUGAUCAUGAAACUUCAGAUCAAGUCACUACCAAACCUCGUGGGAUGACAAGGAUGCGUACUACUUCAAAGUGGUAUGUGAUCCUAUCUUGGAAGUCAUGUUGCUAGACAACAAUGAACCUACGAGCUAUGGAGAAGAGAUGGUGGGCCCGGAUUCCGACGAAUGGCUCAAAGCCAUAUAAUCCGAGAAAGGAUCCAUAUAUGAAAACAAAGUGUAGACUUUGGCAGAACGACUCGAUGGUCGUAAGGCUGUUGAGUACAGAUGGAUUUUAAAAGGAAGACGGACAAUGAUGGUAAAUGUCACCAUUAAGAAAGCUCGACUUGUCGUUAAGAUGUUUUCCGACAAGUUCAAGGAGUUGACUAUGGUGAGACUUUCUCACUCGUAGCGAUGCUAAGAGUCUGUUGGAAUUAUAUUAGUGAUUACUGCAUUAUUUAUGAAAUCUUGCAGAUAGGAAGUCAAAACAUUGUUUCCUCGACGAUUUCUUGAGGAAAGGUUGUAUGUGAUACAACCGGAAGGUUUUGUCAAUCCUGAAAGAUGCUAAUAAGUAUGUAAAGCUCCAGCAAUCCUUCUAAGGACUGGAGUAAGCAUCUCGGAGUUGGAAUGUAUGCUUUGAUGAUUAUCAAAGAUUUUGGGUUUAUACAAAGUUUAUGAGAAACUUGUAUUUCCAAAGAAGUGAGUGGGAGCACUAUAGAAUUUCUGAUAAGUAUAUGUUGACAUAUUGUUGAUCGGAAAUGAUGUAGAAUUUCUGGAAAGCAUAUAGGGUUAUUUGGAAAGUGCUUUUCAAUGGAAAGCCUGGAUUAAGCUACUUGAACAUUGAGCAUCAAGAUCUAUAAGGAUAGAUCAAAACGCUUAAUGGUACUUUCAAAUGAGCACAUACCUUGACAUGAUCUUGAAGGUGUUCAAGAUGGAUCAGUCAAAGAAGGAGUUCUUGCCUGAAUUGUAAGGUAUGAAGUUAAGACUUAAAGCUCGACCACGGCAGAAUAGAGAGAAAGGACGAAGGUCGUCCCCUAUGCUUAAGACAUAGGCUCUACAGUAUGCUAUGCUGUGUACCGCACCUGAAAUGUGCCUUGCCAUGAGUCAGUCAAGGGGUACAAGAGUGAUCCAAGAAUGGAUCACAGGACAGCGGUCAAAGUUAUCCUUAGUAACUAGUGGACUAAGGAAUUUUCUCGAUUAUGGAGGUGGUAAAAGAGUUCGUCGUAAAGGGUUACGCCGAUGCAAACUUUGACACUAAUCCAUAUUAUUCUAAGAAGUAAACUGGAUUCGUAUAGUAGAACAGUUAUUUGGAAUAGCUCCAAAUAGAAUGUGGUAGCUACAUCUAGGAGAUGACAUAGAGAUUUGUAAAGCACACACGGAUCUGAAAGGUUCAGACCCGUUGACUAUAACAUAUCUCACAAGCAUAACAUGAUCAAACCCAGAACUCAUCGAGUGUUAAUCACAUGGUAAUGUGAACUAGAUUAUUGACUCUAGUAAACUCUUUGGGUGUUAGUAACAUGGGGAUGUGACCUUGAGUGUUAAUCACAUAUCGAUGUGAACUAGAUUAUUGACUCUAGUGCAAGUGGGAGACUGUUGGAAAUAUGCCCUAGAGGCAAUAAUAAUAGUAUUAUUAUUAUAUUUCCUUGUUCAUGAUAAUUGUCUUUUAUUCAUGCUAUAACUGUAUUAUCCGGAAAUCGUACUACACGUGUGAAUACAUAGACCACAAUCUGUCCCUGGUGAGCCUCUAGUUGACUAGCUCGUUGUGAUCAACAGAUAGUCAUGGUUUCCUGGCUAUGGACAUUGGAUGUUGUUGAUAACGGGAUCACAUCAUUGGGAGAAUGAUGUGAUGGACAAGACCCAAUCCUAAGCCUAGCACAAAGAUCAUGUAGUUCGUAUGCUAAAGCUUUUCUAAUGUCAAGUAUCUUUUCCUUAGACCAUGAGAUUGUGCAACUCUCGGAUACCGUAGGAAUGCUUUGGGUGUACCAAACGUCACAACGUAACUCGGUGGCUAUAAAGGUGCAUUACAGCUAUCUCCCAAAGUGUCUGUUGGGUUGGCACGAAUCGAGACUGGGAUUUGUCACUCCGUGUAAAUGGAGAGGUAUCUCUGGGCCCACUCGGUAGGACAUCAUCAUAAUGUGCACAAUGUGACCAAGGGGUUGAUCAUGGGAUGAUGUGUUACAGAACGAGUAAAGAGACUUGGCUGUAACGAGAUUGAACAAGGUAUCGGGAUACCGACGAUCGAAUCUCGGGCAAGUAUCGUACCGAUAGACAAAGGGAAUUGUAUACGGGAUCGAUUGAGUCCUUGACAUCGUGGUUCAUCCGAUGAGAUCAUCAUGGAACAUGUGGGAGCCAACAUGGGUAUCCAGAUCCCGCUGUUGGUUAUUGACCGGAGAACGUCUCGGUCAUGUCUGCAUGUCUCCCGAACCCGUAGGGUCUACACACUUAAGGUUCGAUGACGCUAGGGUUGUAAAGGAAGUUUGUAUGUGGUUACCGAAUGUUGUUCGGAGUCCUGGAUGAGAUCCCGGACGUCACGAGGAGUUCCGGAAUGGUCCGGAGGUAAAGAUUUAUAUAUAGGAAGUCCUAUUUCGGCCAUCGGGACAAGUUUCGGGGUCAUCGGUAUUGUACCGGGACCACCGGAAGGGUCCCGGGGGUCCACCGGGUCCCAUGGGCUGAAGUGGGAAGGGAUCCAGCCCAAAGUGGGAUGGGGCGCCGCUUCCCUCAUGGCCCAUGCACCUAGGGUGAAGGGGGAACCCUAAGGAAGAGUCCUAGGAGGGGAAGGCACCUCCUAGGUGCCUUGGGGGGGGGGGGAGGGAAUCCUCCCUUGGCCGCCGCCCCUUUCCCAUCUAGGGCUGCCGCACCCCCUAGGGUGGGAACCCUAGAGGGGGCGCACCCUCCUCCCUCUCCCCUAUAUAUAUUGAGGUCUGGGGCUGCCCAUAACACGUGAUUCGAUCUCUGCCUGUUGGUGCAGCCCUCCCUCUCUUUCUCCUCAUAUCUCGCGGUGCUUGGCGAAGCCCUGCAGGAUUGCCACGCUUCUCCAUCACCACCACGCCGUUGUGCUGCUGCUGGAUGGAGUCUUCCUCAACCUCUCCCUCUCUCCUUGCUGGAUCAAGGCGGGGGAGACGUCACCGGGCUGUACGUGUGUUGAACGCGGAGGUGCCGUGCGUUCGGCACUUGAUCAUCGGUGAUUUGAAUCACGACGAGUACGACUCCAUCAACCCCGUUCACUUGAACGCUUCCGCUUAGCGAUCUACAAGGGUAUGUAGAUGCACUCUC